This 467-nucleotide ribosomal RNA is filed under the name uncultured bacterium. Its description in RNAcentral is "partial 16S ribosomal RNA". It matches the Rfam family "Bacterial small subunit ribosomal RNA", at positions 28 to 507 of the family's 1533-position model. The record is from RNAcentral.
GAUGAACGCUGGCGGCGUGCUUAACACAUGCAAGUCGAACGGAAAGGCCCAAGCUUGCUUGGGUACUCGAGUGGCGAACGGGUGAGUAACACGUGGGUGAUCUGCCCUGCACUUCGGGAUAAGCCUGGGAAACUGGGUCUAAUACCGGAUAGGACCACCUCUUGGAUGUUGUGGUGGAAAGUUUUUUCGGUGUGGGAUGAGCUCGCGGCCUAUCAGCUUGUUGGUGGGGUAAUGGCCUACCAAGGCGUCGACGGGUAGCCGGCCUGAGAGGGUGUACGGCCACAUUGGGACUGAGAUACGGCCCAGACUCCUACGGGAGGCAGCAGUGGGGAAUAUUGCACAAUGGGCGCAAGCCUGAUGCAGCGACGCCGCGUGGGGGAUGACGGCCUUCGGGUUGUAAACUCCUUUCGCUAGGGACGAAGCGUUUUGUGACGGUACCCGGAGAAGAAGCACCGGCUAACUACGUG